AUUGAACGCUGGUGGAAUGCUUUUCACAUGCAAGUCGAACGGCAGCACGGACUUCGGUCUGGUGGCGAGUGGCGAACGGGUGAGUAACAUAUCGGAACGUAUCCAAUAAUGGGGGAUAACUAAUCGAAAGGUUGGCUAAUACCGCAUACGCCCUACGGGGGAAAGCAGGGGAUCUUCGGACCUUGCGUUAAUGGAGCGGCUGAUAUCUGAUUAGCUAGUUGGUGAGGUAAAGGCUCACCAAGGCGACGAUCAGUAGCUGGUCUGAGAGGACGACCUGCCACACUGGAACUGAGACACGGUCCAGACUCCUACGGGAGGCAGCAGUGGGGAAUUUUGGACAAUGGGCGCAAGCCUGAUCCAGCCAUUCCGCGUGAGUGAAGAAGGCCUUCGGGUUGUAAAGCUCUUUCGCAAGGGAAGAAAACUUACUUUCUAAUAAAGAGUGAGGUUGACGGUACCUUGAUAAGAAGCACCGGCUAACUACGUGCCAGCCGCCGCCGUAA
RNAcentral lists this ribosomal RNA (500 nucleotides) under uncultured bacterium. RNAcentral's name for it is "partial 16S ribosomal RNA". It matches the Rfam family "Bacterial small subunit ribosomal RNA", at positions 30 to 523 of the family's 1533-position model. The record is from RNAcentral.